CAAUAGCGUAUAUUAAAGUUGUUGCAGUUAAAAAGCUCGUAGUUGGAUUUCUGGUAGGAGUGACCGUUCCGAACUUGAUUGUUCGUGUAUUGUGUUUUCUCCAGCCAUCCUUGUGGAGAACUUUUCUUGCAUUAAUUUGUAGGGAUUGGGACCCGCAUCGUUUACUGUGAAAAAAUUAGAGUGUUUAAAGCAGGCAAUCGCUUGAAUACAUUAGCAUGGAAUAAUAAGAUAGGACUUUGGUACUAUUUUGUUGGUUUGCAUACCAAAUUAGUGAUCAACAGGAACAGUUUGAGGAUAUUCGUAUGAACAUGUCAGAGGUGAAAUUCUUGGAUUUUGAUCAGACGAACUACUGCGAAAGCAUUUAUCAAGGAUGUUUUCAUUAA
This 383-nucleotide ribosomal RNA is filed under the name uncultured eukaryote. Its description in RNAcentral is "partial 18S ribosomal RNA". It matches the Rfam family "Eukaryotic small subunit ribosomal RNA", at positions 592 to 976 of the family's 1831-position model. The record is from RNAcentral.